UUUAUCAGAGAGUUUGAUCCUGGCUCAGGAUGAACGCUGGCGGCGUGCUUAACACAUGCAAGUCGAACGGGAAACCUUUUAUUGA
Molecule: ribosomal RNA, 85 nt
Filed under: Blautia obeum
Lineage: Bacteria; Bacillati; Bacillota; Clostridia; Lachnospirales; Lachnospiraceae
Description: partial 16S ribosomal RNA
Rfam family: Bacterial small subunit ribosomal RNA
Source: RNAcentral